GACGAACCGAGCGAACGUUGUUCGGAAUCACUGGGCUUAAAGGGCGCGUAGGCGGGCUGUCAAGUCUGGGGUGAAAUCCCACGGCUCAACCGUGGAACUGCCUUAGAUACUGACGGCCUCGAGGGAGGUAGGGGCAUGCGGAACUGAUGGUGGAGCGGUGAAAUGCGUUGAUAUCAUCAGGAACUCCGGUGGCGAAGGCGGCGUGCUGGACCUUUUCUGACGCUGAGGCGCGAAAGCCAGGGGAGCAAACGGG
Molecule: ribosomal RNA, 253 nt
Filed under: uncultured bacterium
Lineage: Bacteria
Description: partial 16S ribosomal RNA
Rfam family: Bacterial small subunit ribosomal RNA
Source: RNAcentral